This is a long non-coding RNA of Chlorocebus sabaeus (green monkey), 854 nucleotides long. RefSeq lists it as uncharacterized. NCBI's taxonomy places the organism in Eukaryota, Metazoa, Chordata, Mammalia, Primates, Cercopithecidae. The record is from RefSeq and is a predicted model, not a curated record.
CCCAAACCUCAACUCCCGGCAUUGCCAGGCAACAGCCAUUCAGUUCGGUUGCUGGGACACGCGUCACCAUGGCGACGGCUCCGCGCCGGGCAGUCUGAGUACUUAAAGAGCAAGCGCGCGCAACGCCCGGGCGUAGGAAAGCGGCCUUCCGGGACUCCGCAAACUCCCGUUCUUCUUCCCCCCUCCCCCUUACCAUUCCCUUUGCCUUGUGGGCGCCAAGUCUCUCUGGCCUCCAAGGUGAACCCAACUCCCAACUCCCCAGCGCGCCCCGGGUUCCCGGGUCGGGCCAGCUUCAGGCGGUGGGGAGCGGGAUCCCGGGCCCCGGGCGGGCGGGAGGGACGGGACGCGGUGCAGUGUUGUUCUUUCCCCCGCCAAUAUUGCACUCGUCCCGGCCUCCGGCCCCCCCGGCCCCCCGGCCUCCCCCCUACCCCUAGCGGGGCAGCCCCCGCCCUCCUGGCUCUCCAUCCCGGCGGAUCUUUGAUAGACUGGAGUGUCGCCGCUGCCACCGUGAAGGGGAAAAUAGGUCAUGGAGGAGGAGUGACUUCACCAACAUCACUCAUAGGUGCUUGUGUCCGUGGUGAGAAAGGGAGAUGGAGAGAAGUGGCUGCAGUCCCCACCCAUGGAGAGGUCACUGGUUGGUGAAAGUCCUGAACUUUGUCUCCCCACCUAGAGGACAACUGGUCAGGAAAUCUGCCUGUUUCUUGUCUCACCUUCUAGUCCACACUCUGCCCAACGCUACGCCCUGCCUCACAUUCCCAUUGACAUCUGCUGCAGGUAAUCUCUCCUCACCCAGGCCAGUGUCCACAAGCCUGCCUCCCCAGUUCACAGAGAUGUCCUAGCUUCCCUUCUUCAUC